AUUGAACGCUGGCGGAAUGCUUUACACAUGCAAGUCGAACGGCAGCACGGGGCAACCUGGUGGCGAGUGGCGAACGGGUGAGUAAUACAUCGGAACGUGCCCAAUCGUGGGGGAUAACGUAGCGAAAGUUACGCUAAUACCGCAUACGAUCUACGGAUGAAAGCGGGGGAUCGCAAGACCUCGCGCGAAUGGAGCGGCCGAUGUCAGAUUAGGUAGUUGGUGGGGUAAAGGCUCACCAAGCCAACGAUCUGUAGCUGGUCUGAGAGGACGACCAGCCACACUGGAACUGAGACACGGUCCAGACUCCUACGGGAGGCAGCAGUGGGGAAUUUGGACAAUGGGCGCAAGCCUGAUCCAGCCAUUCCGCGUGCAGGAUGAAGGCCUUCGGGUUGUAAACUGCUUUUGUACGGAACGAAACGGUCUGCCCUAAUACGGCGGGCUAAUGACGGUACCGUAAGAAUAAGCACCGGCUAACUACGUGCCAGCAGCCGCGGUAAUAGU
This 501-nucleotide ribosomal RNA is filed under the name uncultured bacterium. Its description in RNAcentral is "bacterial SSU rRNA". It matches the Rfam family "Bacterial small subunit ribosomal RNA", at positions 30 to 528 of the family's 1533-position model. The record is from RNAcentral.